CUCCCACCAGGACUUAAUUCAUCUACUCCAUGAAUUCUGCAGGAGAUGACACCUAUGUCCGAGCUAGAAGAACCUAAGUCAAUGGAUCUCAAUCGACAGAAGAGAUCUAAGGAACUGAACUGUCAAUAAGUAAAUAAUUUCUCCAAGUGGAAUCCCGUUGGAGAAAAUCUCCUGUAAAUCACCCCCCAACUCCUCGGAGACAAGACCAGCCAGAGACUGGAGCGUUCAUUAGAUUUUAGUGCCACCUUGUGGCA
Long non-coding RNA from Eubalaena glacialis (North Atlantic right whale), 254 nucleotides. RefSeq lists it as uncharacterized. The transcript has 3 exons. The record is from RefSeq and is a predicted model, not a curated record. Lineage: Eukaryota; Metazoa; Chordata; Mammalia; Artiodactyla; Balaenidae.